Molecule: long non-coding RNA, 288 nt
Organism: Hippocampus zosterae (dwarf seahorse)
Lineage: Eukaryota; Metazoa; Chordata; Actinopteri; Syngnathiformes; Syngnathidae
Exons: 2
Source: RefSeq, a predicted model, not a curated record
UUGUCAUGAUAUGGUUUGGGACCAACAGGUGGCACUGUAGGGCUCCCCCUGCAGUUGCACACCUGUUGGUCAUUAUGUAAUUAUUAGUUGUAUAAAAGGACUCCUGCCCGAACACUCAGUGUCGGGUCAUUGUUGCUUUUUGCUGCUGUCAUGUUUAUUUGUGUCUGUUGGUAUGCUACCGUCAUGGUUUUAGUUUUUUUUUGUUUGCUACUUUGGAUUUGUUUUGUUUUCAUGACUUUGUUUUGGAUUUAGUUUUCUGUGUUUUAUCAAUACACUUCUUCAAAUACA